This 253-nucleotide ribosomal RNA is filed under the name uncultured bacterium. RNAcentral's name for it is "partial 16S ribosomal RNA". It matches the Rfam family "Bacterial small subunit ribosomal RNA", at positions 524 to 776 of the family's 1533-position model. The record is from RNAcentral.
UACGAAGGGGGCGAGCGUUGUUCGGAUUUACUGGGCGUAAAGGGCGCGUAGGCGGCGCGAGAAGUCGAGUGUGAAAGCCCCGGGCUCAACCUGGGAACGGCGCUUGGGACGGCGAGGCUGGAGUUCGGGAGAGGAGAGUGGAAUUCCCAGUGUAGAGGUGAAAUUCGUAGAUAUUGGGAAGAACACCGGUGGCGAAGGCGGCUCUCUGGACCGACACUGACGCUGAGGCGCGAAAGCGUGGGGAGCAAACAGG